UACGAAGGGGGCUAGCGUUGUUCGGAAUUACUGGGCGUAAAGCGCACGUAGGCGGACAUUUAAGUCUGGGGUGAAAUCCCGGGGCUCAACCCCGGAACUGCCUUUGAUACUGGGUGUCUAGAGUAUGGAAGAGGUGAGUGGAAUUCCGGGUGUAGCGGUGGAAUGCGUAGAGAUCCGGAAGAACACCGGAGGCGAAGGCGGCUUGCUGGGCGUGAUCUGACGCUGAGGCGCGAAAGCGUGGGGAGCGAACAGG
RNAcentral lists this ribosomal RNA (253 nucleotides) under uncultured bacterium. RNAcentral's name for it is "partial 16S ribosomal RNA". It matches the Rfam family "Bacterial small subunit ribosomal RNA", at positions 524 to 776 of the family's 1533-position model. The record is from RNAcentral.